Nerophis lumbriciformis (worm pipefish) is the source of this 810-nucleotide long non-coding RNA. RefSeq lists it as uncharacterized. The record is from RefSeq and is a predicted model, not a curated record. NCBI's taxonomy places the organism in Eukaryota, Metazoa, Chordata, Actinopteri, Syngnathiformes, Syngnathidae.
AGUUAGUGUGUUGAAAUGAAGUUAUGCCUCAAAGUGUUACCACCUGGUGAUCAGUGUCAGGAGGCUGUUGUUGAUCAGAUACCAGUCUUCUUUCGUUCGAAAUUAUUUAAUAUCUUAUCGCAGCAAGCACCAUCAGUGGUGAUCUUCUACUUGACCCUCCCCCUUGGUUCUAGCAUCUAGUGUCAUGGCGAAAGUGUUGCAAAUACGUCAAUCGAGUCUCGCUACGUUAUCAACCCUCGCCGUUUGCCAGCAGGCAGAUGCAACAUAAGCCAACAUUUUUCCUGCCCACCCUGACCCUCCCACGCUACGUCACUGCAGACAAGGAAGGGAAACCCAACCACAAACAUCCAAUGGAGACACAUUCUGAUGUCAGGUGUGAGCUGACUUAGCCGUCUGAACAUGGAGUCAUGCGUCUGAGCAGGACACACUCGCUGGAUCCAUCAGCGGCCCGUCCUCCUCAUCUCAUCUGUCGGCGUCUGUCUCCGCGAGACAGCGGUCACCUUUUAGCCCGGGGAACGGCUCGGCCCUCAGUCCCACCUCCCACCGAGACAACGGGGUCAAAACCAAUCCAACCCAGGAAGUGAUUUUACGCCCUUCACACAUGUGAUGAGCUCUUAAAGUGCAGUGUUUGGACGGUGGGGAGGAUGGAAAAUUAAGAGACCUCACAACAAGUUCCCACCCUUUAAUGAAGAUCCAUCUCUCCUAUCUUCUCGCAUCACCAUGACAAUACUGAAUAUUACAAAUAAAACUAAGAGGUAUUUUAAGUUCACUUUAUUCAACUAGAACCAAUAUGUCAUUUAAAAAGAAUGA